UUAAGUUCAGCGGGUAGCCCUACCUGAUCCGAGGUCAACCGGAGGAGGCGCACCCCGAAGGGCUGCCUAAAAGGAAGACCAGCACCGACCGAGUCCCUCCCGAGCGGGUGACAAAGCCCCAUACGCUCGAGGACCCGACGCGGCGCCGCCACUGCUUUUGGGGCGUGUCCCCGGGGGGACAGCGCCCAACACCCAGCCGU
This 200-nucleotide unclassified non-coding RNA is filed under the name Talaromyces sp. RNAcentral describes it as "partial internal transcribed spacer 2". Lineage: Eukaryota; Fungi; Ascomycota; Eurotiomycetes; Eurotiales; Trichocomaceae. The record is from RNAcentral.